UGGGGAAUCUUAGACAAUGGGGGAAACCCUGAUCUAGCCAUGCCGCGUGAGCGAUGAAGGCCUUAGGGUUGUAAAGCUCUUUCAGCUGGGAAGAUAAUGACGGUACCAGCAGAAGAAGCCCCGGCUAACUCCGUGCCAGCAGCCGCGGUAAUACGGAGGGGGCUAGCGUUGUUCGGAAUUACUGGGCGUAAAGCGCACGUAGGCGGAUUAGUCAGUCAGAGGUGAAAUCCCAGGGCUCAACCCUGGAACUGCCUUUGAUACUGCUAGUCUUGAGGUCGAGAGAGGUGAGUGGAAUUCCGAGUGUAGAGGUGAAAUUCGUAGAUAUUCGGAGGAACACCAGUGGCGAAGGCGGCUCACUGGCUCGAUACUGACGCUGAGGUGCGAAAGCGUGGGGAGCAAAACAGGAUUAGAUACCCUGGUAGUCCACGCCGUAAAACGAUGAAUGCCAGUCGUCGGGUUGCAUGCAAUUCGGUGACACACCUAACGGAUUAAGCAUUCCGCCUGGGGAGUACGGUCGC
RNAcentral lists this ribosomal RNA (518 nucleotides) under uncultured bacterium. Its description in RNAcentral is "partial 16S ribosomal RNA". It matches the Rfam family "Bacterial small subunit ribosomal RNA", at positions 355 to 889 of the family's 1533-position model. The record is from RNAcentral.